RNAcentral lists this ribosomal RNA (158 nucleotides) under uncultured bacterium. RNAcentral describes it as "partial 16S ribosomal RNA". It matches the Rfam family "Bacterial small subunit ribosomal RNA", at positions 355 to 509 of the family's 1533-position model. The record is from RNAcentral.
UGAGGAAUAUUGGUCAAUGGGCGGGAGGCCUGAACCAGCCAAGCCGCGUGAGGGAAUAAGGCGCCAAGCGUCGUAAACCUCUUUUGUCAGGGAACAAAAGCGGGCACGCGUGCCCGUCCGAGUGUACCUGAAGAAAAAGCAUCGGCUAACUCCGUGCC